Molecule: transfer RNA, 73 nt
Filed under: Myotis brandtii (Brandt's bat)
Lineage: Eukaryota; Metazoa; Chordata; Mammalia; Chiroptera; Vespertilionidae
Rfam family: tRNA
About the family: Transfer RNA (tRNA) molecules are approximately 80 nucleotides in length. Their secondary structure includes four short double-helical elements and three loops (D, anti-codon, and T loops). Further hydrogen bonds mediate the characteristic L-shaped molecular structure. tRNAs have two regions of fundamental functional importance: the anti-codon, which is responsible for specific mRNA codon recognition, and the 3' end, to which the tRNAs corresponding amino acid is attached (by aminoacyl-tRNA synthetases). tRNAs cope with the degeneracy of the genetic code in two manners: having more than one tRNA (with a specific anti-codon) for a particular amino acid; and 'wobble' base-pairing, i.e. permitting non-standard base-pairing at the 3rd anti-codon position.
Source: Rfam by way of RNAcentral
GCCAAUUUGGCUCAGUGGCUAGAGCAUUGGCCUGUGGACUCAAGGAUCGCAGGUUCAAUUUCAGUCAAGGGCA